GACGAACGCUGGCGGCGUGCUUAACACAUGCAAGUCGAACGGAAAGGCCCUGCUGUUGUGGGGUGCUCGAGUGGCGAACGGGUGAGUAACACGUGAGUAACCUGCCCUUUACUUUGGGAUAACUUCAGGAAACUGGGGCUAAUACCGGAUAGGAGCUCCUGCUGCAUGGUGGGGGUUGGAAAGUUUCGGCGGUUGGGGAUGGACUCGCGGCUUAUCAGCUUGUUGGUGGGGUAGUGGCUUACCAAGGCUUUGACGGGUAGCCGGCCUGAGAGGGGGACCGGCCACAUGGGGACUGAGAGACGGCGCAGACUCCAACGGGAGGCAGCAGUGGGGAAUAUGGCACAAUGGGCGGAAGCCUGAUGCAGCAACGCCGCGUGCGGGAUGACGGCUUUCGGGUUGUAAACCGCUUUCGCCUGUGACGAAGCGUGAGUGACGGUAAUGGGUAAAGAAGCAACGGCUAACUACGUG
RNAcentral lists this ribosomal RNA (468 nucleotides) under uncultured bacterium. RNAcentral describes it as "partial 16S ribosomal RNA". It matches the Rfam family "Bacterial small subunit ribosomal RNA", at positions 28 to 507 of the family's 1533-position model. The record is from RNAcentral.